Molecule: unclassified non-coding RNA, 338 nt
Filed under: soil metagenome
Description: partial contains 5.8S ribosomal RNA, internal transcribed spacer 2, and large subunit ribosomal RNA
Rfam family: 5.8S ribosomal RNA (bases 1-120)
Source: RNAcentral
GAUGAAGAACGGAGCGAAAUGCGAUAAGUAAUGUGAAUUGCAGAAUUCAGUGAAUCAUCGAAUCUUUGAACGCACAUUGCGCCCGCCAGCAUUCUGGCGGGCAUGCCUGUUCGAGCGUCAUUUCAACCCUCAAGCUCUGCUUGGUGUUGGGGCCCUACGGUUGACGUAGGCCCUUAAAGGUAGUGGCGGACCCUCUCGGAGCCUCCUUUGCGUAGUAACUAACGUCUCGCAUUGGGAUUCGGAGGGACUCUUGCCGUAAAACCCCCAAGUUUUCUAAUGGUUGACCUCGGAUCAGGUAGGAAUACCCGCUGAACUUAAGCAUAUCAAUAAGCGGAGGA